Molecule: long non-coding RNA, 857 nt
Organism: Lathyrus oleraceus (garden pea)
Lineage: Eukaryota; Viridiplantae; Streptophyta; Magnoliopsida; Fabales; Fabaceae
Exons: 2
Source: RefSeq, a predicted model, not a curated record
UCUUAGGUCGUGUGCAACAUCAAUAAAUUACCUUCGCGCCUCAGAAAUUCAUGCUUGGAAGUCGAAUUUACCAUUCACCACCGUGCUCACAGCGCUGCUAAAUCAACGGGAUCUUAAGCGCGACUUAAAGAAAACUCACCGGGUUGAAGUCGCUGCAAAUUGGAUUGUGAUGGUGGUGCCAUGGAAGAAGCAGAUGGUGAAACCGAGAUUGGAAGAGGUUGAAAACCGGAUCCUCACGUGAGUUAUUGCAGAAAAUUUCUUUCUUCUUCUUCGGUUGUUUUGUUGAUGGCGAUGAACAAAGUGGUGGAUGCGAGGUUGUUGUGGAUGGAACCAAGAGAUUUCGGUUGCCAAAUCCGGGAGUUUUUAUCGCCGAACUCCAACUUCCAAUUGCAGGAUUUGGAAUUCUAUUGCAGUGGCUGGAAUUUGGAAUUGCAGAAGGGAGAUGAAGAAGGUUGAGGACAUGUGCUGAGAAGUGAAGAAACUUCUUCUCAAUGUGAGUUUUUUUUUCUGAAAAUCAAUGAAAACCAAGAAGCACCAUUCUGAACCGAAGCAUCCUUAUAUAAGACUCAGAUUUUUGGUUUCGACACUCUCAGGGAAAUGCUAAAGUUAGUUACCAAAUUGGAAGUUAGUUAUUAGUUUCUGUUAGGUUAGUUAUUAAGUUGGUUGUUAAGUUGGUUAGUUGUAAACUCUUCUGUUAUGAAUUUCACUUGUAAUUAAAAUCAAAGCAUUUGUUAAAGCUACAUUGAAUUGGAACUUAGGUGAAGUGCUACUGCUAGCUGUAAAUGCAGACUGGAAUUCUAUUGUGUGAAUUGAUUGAGAUGCGAAAUGAAAUUGGUUUCAGAAUGAAUUUGAAGUUA